AAGAUCUUACUGUUUGACUAUAUACUCUGAUGCUAAUAAGUGUUAUGUCCAGUAAAGUUAAGUGCAAGAGUGUGUCAACAAUUAAAAAAAAAGUAUUAUUGUCUUUAGGUUUGGGUGAUGGUCCAAUGAAGUUAAGUACAUCCAGAUGGCUGAGAUGGCCAUUAUAGGAAGUCAUAAAGAUGAGACAGCCUUACAGCAGAACCGAAUUCCGUGUCCCUACACCUGUUAUUUCGUUUUAUUAGUUUUUAAUUUUAUUUUUUAUCUUGUUUUAUGUUUUCAUGAUAUUCAGUUUGGCUGCCCCUCACUUUGGCCGGCCAUAUGCGAUGCACGCCUUGCACCUAUGGCAGGCCAAGCCCUGGAUAUCCCUAAUUAAAAGUUGACAAAAGAGCCCCAGUAUAAUAAAGAAAUUUAUUAAGAAUUAUUGGACUCAGCCGAUUGCGGCCGAGUCCGUCAAUUUUAAAUUAAAUAUAUUCUGAAAUUGGAAAUUUGCC
Molecule: long non-coding RNA, 491 nt
Filed under: Androctonus crassicauda
Lineage: Eukaryota; Metazoa; Arthropoda; Arachnida; Scorpiones; Buthidae
Source: RNAcentral